This 516-nucleotide ribosomal RNA is filed under the name uncultured bacterium. Its description in RNAcentral is "partial 16S ribosomal RNA". It matches the Rfam family "Bacterial small subunit ribosomal RNA", at positions 28 to 523 of the family's 1533-position model. The record is from RNAcentral.
GAUGAACGCUGGCGGCGUGCCUAAUACAUGCAAGUCGAACGCAUUGAGAGAAGUGCUUGCACUUUUCAAUUUGAGUGGCGAACGGGUGAGUAACACGUGGGCAACCUACCUGAUAGCGGGGGAUAACGAGUGGAAACAUUCGCUAAUACCGCAUAACAAUAGAGAAGGCAUCUUCUUUAUUUAAAAGGCGCUUUCAAGCGUCACUAUCAGAUGGGCCCGCGGUGCAUUAGUGAGUUGGUGGGGUGAAGGCCUACCAAGAAGAUGAUGCAUAGCCGAGUUGAGAGACUGAUCGGCCACAUUGGGACUGAGACACGGCCCAAACUCCUACGGGAGGCUGCAGUAGGGAAUCUUCCACAAUGGACGAAAGUCUGAUGGAGCAACGCCGCGUGUGUGAUGAAGGCUUUCGGGUCGUAAAGCACUGUUGUAUGGGAAGAAAUGCUAGGCUAGGAAAUGAGCUUAGUUUGACGGUACCAUACCAGAAAGGGACGGCUAAAUACUUGCCAGCCGCCGCCGUAA